GAUGAACGCUCGCUACAGGCUUAACACAUGCAAGUCGCGGGGCAGCAUGGGGGUUGCUUGCGACCCCUGAUGGCGACCGGCGCACGGGGGAGUAACGCGUAUACAAACUGCCCUUCACCACGGGAUAACCCGGCGAAAGUCGGACUAAUACCGUAUGUUGUCCAUUGACGGCAUCCGAUUUGGACGAAAGGGUUGGCGGGGAAAGGACGGGGAUGCGUGCGAUUAGCUUGACGGUGGGGUAACGGCCCACCGUGGCUACGAUCGGUAGGGGUUCUCAGAGGAAGGUCCCCCACACUGGAACUGGGACACGGUCCAGACGCCUACGGGAGGCAGCAGUGAGGAAUAUGGGUCAAUGGGCGUAAGCCUGAACCAGCCAAGUAGCGUGCAGGAUGACGGCCCUAUGGGUUGUAAACUGCUUUUAUGCGGGGAUAAAGUGGCCCACGUGUGUGCUUUUGCAGGUACCGCAUGAAUAAGGACCGGCUAAUUCCGUG
Molecule: ribosomal RNA, 491 nt
Filed under: uncultured bacterium
Lineage: Bacteria
Description: partial 16S ribosomal RNA
Rfam family: Bacterial small subunit ribosomal RNA
Source: RNAcentral